Molecule: ribosomal RNA, 418 nt
Filed under: uncultured eukaryote
Lineage: Eukaryota
Description: SSU rRNA
Rfam family: Eukaryotic small subunit ribosomal RNA
Source: RNAcentral
CAAUAGCGUAUAUUAAAGUUGUUGCGGUUAAAAGCUCGUAGUUGGAUUUGUGGCGUGGUCGUCCGGCGGGCGUCCUUCAUUGGGCGUUGUCUGGUUUUCGACCGCACCAUUCUCGGGUAGUGUGUCGCUGGCAUUAGGUUGUCGGCUUCUUCACGCCCGUCGUUUACUGUGAAAAAUUAGAGUGUUCAAAGCAGGCUUAGGCCGUUGGAUACAUUAGCAUGGAAUAAUGAGAUAGGGCCACGACGGUCUAUUUUGUUGGUUUGCACGUUGUGGUAAUGAUUAACAGGAACGGUUGGGGGUAGUUCGUAUUCAAUUGUCAGAGGUGAAAUUCUUGGAUUUAUGGAAGACGAACUACUGCGAAAGCAUUUACCAAGGAUGUUUUCAUUAAUCAAGAACGAAAGUUAGGGGAUCGAAGACG